UACGGAGGGUGCAAGCGUUAUCCGGAUUUACUGGGUUUAAAGGGUGCGUAGGUGGGUCUGUAAGUCAGUGGUGAAAUCUCCGAGCUUAACUCGAAAACUGCCAUUGAUACUAUAGAUCUUGAAUUAUCUGGAGGUAAGCGGAAUAUGUCAUGUAGCGGUGAAAUGCUUAGAUAUGACAUAGAACACCAAUUGCGAAGGCAGCUUACUACGGAUCGAUUGACACUGAGGCACGAAAGCGUGGGGAUCAAACAGG
RNAcentral lists this ribosomal RNA (253 nucleotides) under uncultured bacterium. Its description in RNAcentral is "partial 16S ribosomal RNA". It matches the Rfam family "Bacterial small subunit ribosomal RNA", at positions 524 to 776 of the family's 1533-position model. The record is from RNAcentral.